CAUUUUCUCAACCAGGGUAUGGAACUUGGUUCCUCGAAUAACUUCUGGCACAGACAUCUGAGGGCAUGGCCGUCCAAGAAGAAAAUUUAGCCAUUGUUGCCAUCUAUCGACCACAGGUUAAAGAUUGGCGAUCCGUUGGAUAUAGAUCGAGUUAUAGGCAAAAGUUGGUGCAAAAAUGAGGAAAAUUUUACAUUUUCUCAACCAGGGUAUGGAACUUGGUUCCUCGAAUAACUUCUGGCACAGACAUCUGAGGGCAUGGCCGUCCAAGAAGAAAAUUUAGCCAUUGUUGCCAUCUAUCGACCACAGGUUAAAGAUUGGCGAUCCGUUGGAUACCGACCGAGUUAUAGGCAAAAGUUGGUGCAAAAAUGGGCCUUAUAAAAUUUUCAAAUUUUUAGAAUUUUUUUAUUUUCUUAAAUAUUUUACUCUUUUUUUUGUUUAAAACAUUAUUUGAGUGAAAAGAAACUCAUUGCAACCAAUUGGCAUUAAAAUAAAUCAAUUUGAAUUUUUUUGCAAAAUUUCUCAAAAAAAUGGCAAGGGGUAAGCCUUAUGAAAUUUUCGUGUUGAAAAUUUUUUUAAAAUUUUUUUCUGAUUUUUUAUUCUUUUUUUAAUUUAAAGCACUAUUUAAGUGAAAAGAAACUUAUUGCAACAAAUUCCCAUUAAAAUAUAUCACAUUUUUCAAUUUUGCUGCAUUGGUGAAAAAUGAGGAAAAUUUUACAUUUUCUCAAACAGGGUAUGGAACUUGGUUCCUCGAAUAACUUCUGGCACAGACAUCUGAGGGCAUGGCCGUCCAAGAAGAAAAUGUAGCCAUUGUUGCCAUCUAUCGACCACAGGUUAAAGAUUGGCGAUCCGUUUGAUAUAGAUCGAGUUAUAGGCAAAAGUUGGUGCAAAAAUGAGGAAAAUUUUACAUUUUCUCAACCAGGGUAUGGAACUUGGUUCCUCGAAUAACUUCUGGCACAGACAUCUGAGGGCAUGGCCGUCCAAGAAGAAAAUUUAGCCAUUGUUGCCAUCUAUCGACCACAGGUUAAAGAUUGGCGAUCCGUUGGAUACCGACCGAGUUAUAGGCAAAAGUUGGUGCAAAAAUGAGGAAAAUUUUACAUUUUCUCAACCAGGGUAUGGAACUUGGUUCCUCGAAUAACUUCUGGCACAGACAUCUGAGGGCAUAGCCGUCCAAGAAGAAAAUUUAGC
Molecule: long non-coding RNA, 1185 nt
Organism: Anopheles funestus (African malaria mosquito)
Lineage: Eukaryota; Metazoa; Arthropoda; Insecta; Diptera; Culicidae
Exons: 4
Source: RefSeq, a predicted model, not a curated record